Molecule: ribosomal RNA, 235 nt
Filed under: uncultured Lactobacillus sp.
Lineage: Bacteria; Bacillati; Bacillota; Bacilli; Lactobacillales; Lactobacillaceae
Description: partial 16S ribosomal RNA
Rfam family: Bacterial small subunit ribosomal RNA
Source: RNAcentral
CCCAAGAGAUCGGGAUAACACCUGGAAACAGAUGCUAAUACCGGAUAACAACAGAUGAUGCCUAUCAAACUGGUUUAAAAGAUGGUUCUGCUAUCACUCUUGGAUGGACCUGCGGUGCAUUAGCUAGUUGGUAGGGUAACGGCCUACCAAGGCGAUGAUGCAUAGCCGAGUUGAGAGACUGAUCGGCCACAUUGGGACUGAGACACGGCCCAAACUCCUACGGGAGGCAGCAGCA